GACGAACGCUGGCGGCGUGCCUAAUACAUGCAAGUUGAGCGAUGAAGAUUGGUGCUUGCACCAAUUUGAAGAGCAGCGAACGGGUGAGUAACGCGUGGGGAAUCUGCCUUUGAGCGGGGGACAACAUUUGGAAACGAAUGCUAAUACCGCAUAACAACUUUAAACAUAAGUUUUAAGUUUGAAAGAUGCAAUUGCAUCACUCAAAGAUGAUCCCGCGUUGUAUUAGCUAGUUGGUGAGGUAAAGGCUCACCAAGGCGAUGAUACAUAGCCGACCUGAGAGGGUGAGCGGCCACAUUGGGACUGAGACACGGCCCAAACUCCUACGGGAGGCAGCAGUAGGGAAUCUUCGGAAAUGGACGAAAGUCUGACCGAGCAACGCCGCGGGAGGGAAGAAGGUUGUCGGAUCGUAAAACUCUGUUGGUAGAGAAGAACGUGGGUGAGAGUGGAAAGCUCAUCAAGUGACGGUAACUACCCAGAAAGGGACGGCUAACUACGUG
This 497-nucleotide ribosomal RNA is filed under the name uncultured bacterium. Its description in RNAcentral is "partial 16S ribosomal RNA". It matches the Rfam family "Bacterial small subunit ribosomal RNA", at positions 28 to 507 of the family's 1533-position model. The record is from RNAcentral.